AAAAUGGAAAACGGUAAAGGAAGAAAAAUAAAGAAACAAAAGAGAAAACGAAUUAGGGAAUAGGGCGUAACAUAAUUUUCUCCGCCUUACUCUCUUGACAUCUCUCUCCCGACACGAACAGGAUGGAGAUCCUCUGUCUUCUCCGGUGAAUCAGAGCUCUUCUCUGCCUCUCCGCUUCUCUCUACCUCUCCGCUUAUCUCUGCCUCUCUGCCUUUCUGCUUCUCUGCUUCUCUCUACCACUUCGCUUCGCUCCGCCUCUCUGCUUCUCCACCUCUCUGCCUCUCUCUUUCUGUGACAUCGAUUACUUCUCUCUGCCUCUCCGCCAAUAUCUUUCUCUGACAUCGUGUUCACCUAAGUUGACGCUUGGUGGUGAAAUUGAGUUUGUCUUCAGCCUGUACGCCUCUCUUUUUCUCCGACAUCUCUAGCAGAUAAGAUAUGGAGCUACAGCUACCAAAACGACUGUAUUCUGAAGGGUUAGAACCUCACGUCAAGAAGAUCAACAACUGCUGCCGCAUGAAACCUAUCAGGGAUCUGAAAGAAGCUAUGUCUUGAGUACGAUGAUGUGAGGGUCAAUCCUGUGUUUAGACAUAUCAUGGCUAUUGCGGAAAAUAAGCUCAAGUUUUCGGGGACACUAGUGGACAGUGCCGUGCGAAGGAGUUUUGAGGCCUAAGGCAAAUUUGGUGUUUUUUUACAAAUUCUAAUUAGUUUUUAUAAAAAAAUUAAAUUAUAUAUAGUUUGUAAAAGAACUACAGAAUAAAGUUAAGACUUGGGUUCACCCCCUAUGGUGAAUCUUCAAAUUCA
Raphanus sativus (radish) is the source of this 801-nucleotide long non-coding RNA. RefSeq lists it as uncharacterized. The record is from RefSeq and is a predicted model, not a curated record. The transcript is spliced from 3 exons. Lineage: Eukaryota; Viridiplantae; Streptophyta; Magnoliopsida; Brassicales; Brassicaceae.